CACCGGGCACCGCCGCUCCGCCGCCAGUCCCGCCGCUCCCUCCCCGCGCCCGGUGCAAUGCGCCGGGGGAUGCCCAGCGCCCCCGAAGGGAGCAGUCCCGGUGCGGCGGGUGAGCCCCGGAGCCGCCGCCGGCGGGGAUGCUCCGCGUCGGGGAGCGGCGCGGGGGCGAGGCGGCCGGCGGCGGGGCCGGGGCGCGGCGCGGAGCGGGGCCAGGAAGGGAAGGCAGGGGAGGCAGCCAGGCAAGGAUUUUUCCAUCUCCAUUUUCUCUGCUGUUAAGAGUUAUUCUUCUUACUUUGGAUAAAUAAAAACCUUUCCUUUUUCAUCUAAAGGGUGUCUGAGGUGGAUAGGACUUAUUUGUUGUUGAGGAGGAUCUAAGAAGCCACGCAAUUGCUGAAGCUAAACUAAGAAAGCAGUGUGUUGUGAGAGUCGAUCUGAAGAUGGAGCAGUAUUUGCCUGAACAUCACCAUCAAGAACUUAGAGAACUGAGGCCCUCACAGAAGGAACACAUGGACAAUGACUUGGAGAGAGGCCCAAGGAGAAGCAUUGUGUUGCACUGGUUUGUCCGAUACGAGGGGGUUGCUGCUUACAAUGGCUGCUGUGUGGACUUCGCCUGCUGCUUCAGCCAAACCAGCCCCCGCCUCCUGAAAGUUAUUGUUAUGGGGGUCUCUUCAACCCAGGGACAAUAACUGCUGUCCAGAAGGUGUGUUCUCACCUGCAGCCUCAGUUACACGUGUCCCCCACCUGCUCCUUCAAACAAUGGCCAAAGAAAAGGAGCAUGCCCAGAAGCUCACCAAAGGUCCUGAGGUCACCCAAUGGACCAGAGAAAGACCCCUGAAUGCUGGACAUGUAAGCGUUAGCAAAAGAAAGUGUGAAUCUUUUGAGCCUGCACAGUACAAGCCUGGGUUGUGAAAUCAAGGUGGAGACUGGCCUCAAACAAUGGGAACAAGGGGGGGUGAAGAAGCAUAAAAGAUGGCUCCCAAAUGGACACCGUUGAAGAUCUUCCUGCCAGAGGAUUCCGAACCAUGACAGAGGACUGGCUGGACUCCACGGGACCGGAGACCAGAGGGACGCUUCUGGAACUGGACUGGUGAUAAACGCAUCUUUAUUUUCACUUUUCCCCAUUUCUUUUCCAUUUUCUUUUUCUUACUCUCUCUCUCUAUCGCGUGCCGCUUUACAAGCAAAUUAAUAAAGUAACACUGCUUGAUUGAA
This is a long non-coding RNA of Columba livia (rock pigeon), 1209 nucleotides long. RefSeq lists it as uncharacterized. The transcript is spliced from 2 exons. The record is from RefSeq and is a predicted model, not a curated record. Lineage: Eukaryota; Metazoa; Chordata; Aves; Columbiformes; Columbidae.